UUACAAAGCACGGCACUGAAGAUGCCAAGAUGGGUAAAUACCUACCCCAAAAACA
This 55-nucleotide transfer RNA is filed under the name Lepidochelys kempii (Atlantic ridley). RNAcentral describes it as "tRNA-Phe". Lineage: Eukaryota; Metazoa; Chordata; Testudines; Cheloniidae. The record is from RNAcentral.